AACAGUGCAGAUGUGGUUUCUUUUGCUGAAAUUGAAUUAACAAGAAAAAUAAGUAUUUUUGCUUUUGAGAAUGUUGGUGUCUUCAUCAGCCUAAGAGAAAAUCAGAACUCCUGAGGAACAGAGUUAGUUCAUUGCUCCUUUCAUUCUGCAUGUUCAGCACUGAUGGAGCUACCUGGGAUAUCUAUCUGCAGCAGAGGUGCCAAGAAAUUUCAGUGGAACCAUCCCGCCAAACACACAGUCUCUUCCAAGUCUCCAGACUCCUUCAGCCAUCCUGGCCCUGGGAACCUCCAGAAGGCUGCGGCAACGAUGCAGAACAGUCAUUGACUGUGUUCAUCUGCUUUUGCUCAACACCAUUGUACUGGUGUGAUGCCAGUUGGGGGGCUGAGCUGUUCAGCUUUUGUCAGGCAGAAGAAAGCUCUAGGGCCUUCUCAUCCUUCCCGGCCUCUCAGUGGAUCCAGCGGAGUUCUGAGCAGGGGAUAUAUAGCAAGUUGCACCACGGAACUUGUGGUAGAGAUUUCACAUGCAGUUCUGAGGCACUCAUCAACAUGAUGUUAAAUGAAAAAUUAAUAAUAAUCUCUAAAACACAAACCCACAUGAAACACAAGUUAAGAUGACCAGUAUUUUCUUAAGAUGAACUAAUUUCUGAUUCCUUUUGCUAAACCGUUGGUGCAGCAAGUUUUUCUUUGGCACCUGGUCAAAUAUCAUCGCUUAAUCCAGCUUCAUUUAUUCAUUUCACAUAAUUAUGACUAUGGAUUAUGAUGACUUCGGAGUUCAAAGUUGCUACAAUUUGUCUACAAGGUUACUGAGAGAUGUAUUUUCAAAGAUUGAGCUUUUCUAACAGGGAUACUGAGUGGUUGUCAGGCUGCAUUUAGCAAGAGAGUAAAAUAAUUUUUUUUGCAAAUACUGGGUGAUUGCUGGUGACUGCACAAUACUGGCAAAAAGGAAGAACCAGGAAAGCAGGAAGAACAGGAGUAGUUAAAAUCCUGAACCAGUGACAUUCUCCAAAGCCUGACAUGGCCGUGGGCUGGCAGAGGAGUGGCAAUGGGACAUGGGCAGCCUUGGGCUGAGAGUUCUGGAGAGCAAACCAGGACACAGCACUGCAGACCAGCUGUGGCUGCAGCCCCCUCCCAAGUACCUUACACAGUGAGCGAUCUAUGGCUGAGCUUCUAAUAGCGUACUGUAAGAGCUGUGGAAAAUGGAUUAUAUGUAUUCCAUUAAAAGCAUCAGUUUGAUUUACUCUUUAGAGAAAAGUACAAGAAAUAGCACUCUACCUUCUCUGAAUCCAGUGGCAAAAUAUUCAUUGGCCUCAUGAACAGCAUCAAGCCUUUUUCUUCAAAUAUUGAAUCACGCCACAAGAACAUAGAGAAACUCUAUGGCUGAUAUAUUUUGUGAAGAAAGACGUUCCAAUUUCUGGGGUAAGUACCUAAGCCCUCUUCUGCAAGAAGCUGAGUGAUGCUCCCUGUCAGGAACGC
Molecule: long non-coding RNA, 1472 nt
Filed under: Calidris pygmaea (Spoon-billed sandpiper)
Lineage: Eukaryota; Metazoa; Chordata; Aves; Charadriiformes; Scolopacidae
Description: lncRNA (ENSCPGG00000017033.1)
Source: RNAcentral